This 455-nucleotide ribosomal RNA is filed under the name uncultured bacterium. RNAcentral's name for it is "bacterial SSU rRNA". It matches the Rfam family "Bacterial small subunit ribosomal RNA", at positions 340 to 786 of the family's 1533-position model. The record is from RNAcentral.
UACGGGAGGCAGCAGUGGGGAAUAUUGCACAAUGGGCGCAAGCCUGAUGCAGCCAUGCCGCGUGUAUGAAGAAGGCCUUCGGGUUGUAAAGUACUUUCAGUCGUGAGGAAGGUGUUAAGGUUAAUAACCUUAGCAAUUGACGUUAGCGACAGAAGAAGCACCGGCUAACUCCGUGCCAGCAGCCGCGGUAAUACGGAGGGUGCGAGCGUUAAUCGGAAUUACUGGGCGUAAAGGGCACGCAGGCGGUUAAUUAAGUUGGAUGUGAGAUCCCCGGGCUUAACCUGGGAAUGGCAUUCAAGACUGGUUAGCUAGAGUCUUGUAGAGGGGGUUAGAAUUCCAUGUGUAGCGGUGAAAUGCGUAGAGAUGUGGAGGAAUACCGGUGGCGAAGGCGGCCCCUGGGACAAAGACUGACGCUCAUGUGCGAAAGCGUGGGGAGCAAACAGGGAUUAGAUACC